AUACGUGUCGGAUCCAUCACACGUGCUGAACUAUGAAAGAAUGGAGCUAAAGCAGGACUUGAGUUAUGAAGUGCGACCAGUUCGCAUUAUAGAGAGAGGAACGAAGGAGUUAAGGUCCAAAAGUAUUCCUCUAGUAAAAGUUCUGUGGAGCAACCGUUCAGAAAGGGAGGCAACGUGGGAAAUGGAGGGAGACAUGAAAGAACAGUACCCCGAACUUUUUGAUAAGUAAGCCUGUAAGCUUUCGGUGACAAGUUGAGUCUGGGCAGCAUGGGGUGUAUCUCGUGUGAUCAUGUAACUGCGUGUGGUCUUGGCCAUCUUCCGCUGAAAGUUUUUUUUUAAUUUAUUAAACUUAUCGAGGAUGUUGUCGUUUAAAUUUUCUAUUACUUUUCCCUAAGUGGUAAUACUUUAUUUUCAACUGGGUACCCA
Cannabis sativa is the source of this 426-nucleotide long non-coding RNA. RefSeq lists it as uncharacterized. The record is from RefSeq and is a predicted model, not a curated record. Lineage: Eukaryota; Viridiplantae; Streptophyta; Magnoliopsida; Rosales; Cannabaceae. The transcript has 2 exons.